UACGUAGGUGGCAAGCGUUGUCCGGAUUUACUGGGCGUAAAGAGCGCGCAGGCGGUCGUAUAAGUCGAAUGUGAAAGCCCCCGGCUCAACUGGGGAGGGUCAUUCGAUACUGUUCGACUUGAAGGUAGGAGAGAGAAGCAGAAUUCCCGGUGUAGUGGUGAAAUGCGUAGAUAUCGUGAGGAAGACCAGUGGCGAAGGCGGGUCUCUGGACAGUUCCUGACACUGAGGCACGAAGGCCAGGGGAGCAAACGGG
This 253-nucleotide ribosomal RNA is filed under the name uncultured bacterium. RNAcentral describes it as "partial 16S ribosomal RNA". It matches the Rfam family "Bacterial small subunit ribosomal RNA", at positions 524 to 776 of the family's 1533-position model. The record is from RNAcentral.